UCAGUCUGUCAUCAUGAAGAGGAAUAUUUCAGCUCAUAUCAGCUUGACAGUCAUAUGUGCAGGCUUAUGGUGAUACUUUUACAGACUUGUAGCCAAAGUUCCUCAGCCUUUCCUUUCCUGGUAAAAGCUCAAAUUUGAUGUUGGGUUAUAACUUUUUACGAUGAUCAGCCCAGCAGAGCUAUUUUAAUGUAGAAUGGAGGUUCUGUUAUUUUAGGGCAACUUAGUGGUGACUGACAUGUUGGUCUACAGGAAAAAGCUGGGUCAUGAAACUGCCAUCAGAUUUUCAGUGAUUUUUCUCCUGACAGAUGCAGGGAGAGGUUUAACGUGGCCUCUCCUUUCCUGCUGCACAGAGAAUUAAACACUUUCUUCUCUCAUGGGACAAGGACAUGGUGGGUCCUCUCUGGCACGUCCAGGUGGGAAUCAAGCACCAUCCUGGGGACCCACUCCUUGUCCUUCGAAUACCUCAGAGUCAAAACUGUGCCCUGCAACCUCCCAGAGUGUCCUUCUGGAGGCCUGCAAGCGCUCGAGGAUGAAAAGCUGUGCGAUGCCUGGAACAUCUGUGUUCGCUUGCUGGUCUUUGCUCCUCACGUAAAUCCCACCGCUCACACAUCCAGAGGUGGUGGCAUUCCCUUUACAGCCCUUGGCUGAGUGUUCCCAGGUCCUUCCAGAGAGGAUGGGGGCUGUGAUGCCCAGUGUAGACAUGGCCAUGGGAACCUGCAGCAGCGCAGGCUCAGAGCCAGCACUGGUGGGACUCAUAAAAGAUGACUGUGCAGACUGCAAGAUUGUCUGCUCUGAUGCUCAUUUUAUAUUUCCAGCAUCUUCUUCCAUCUCCUUUCACUCAUCUCUCCAAGCUUCAACUCGUUUCAACAGGAAAAACAUUCAACACCUUUAACAUACACUGAACCAGCCAGGACUUCCUUUCCAUUUUGGUUGAUUUUUAUUUUAUGGUCUCUAGAAGGUUGUAUACAAUUACCCACUAAAUGCUAAUACAUCUCUUUAGUUUUUC
Corvus hawaiiensis (hawaiian crow) is the source of this 1006-nucleotide long non-coding RNA. RefSeq lists it as uncharacterized. The record is from RefSeq and is a predicted model, not a curated record. Lineage: Eukaryota; Metazoa; Chordata; Aves; Passeriformes; Corvidae. The transcript has 3 exons.